UGCAAAAACGAAAAGCAAAUCCUUAAUCUGAAGAGAAUAGCCAUCCAAACGAACCACAGGUGCAGAUGCCAUCUGUUCCCAUUUCAAUUCAGGAGCAGGCAAAUCAGCAUAGGUCAUGGAUAACGCUCUCUCAGGGAGCCCAAGUGGUAGCAAGGGAAACAUAAGCAGAAGAAGAAGCGGAAUGAAAAUCGCGGGUCAAGGAAAUUGCUAGAAGAGCAACAAAUGCAAGAAGAAGAAUGAUGGGUUUUGCGAAACUGUGCUUUGCUGUUGAUCUUAUCAUUAUGUUGUAGUAAUAAUAAUAAUAAUAAUACAGAAGCCCUGGGAAGAAUACCCAUUUGCGCCAUUGAUAUAAGAUAGGUUUAUUAAUUGGAGGAUUGUUUUAAGAGGAAGAAGCGCGGCCGCUAAUGGUUUUUCACUUUGCCCCUUGGUUUUCUGCCUCUCUUUUUUUUUUUUUUCUGAUUCCUUCCCCUCUUCUUUUGGUCGGAAAAAAAAAAUAUUCUUACUUGAUGUACUUGUUAAAUUUCUAUUUUAAUCGUUAAUUUUUAAAUAUUUUUA
This is a long non-coding RNA of Solanum pennellii, 555 nucleotides long. RefSeq lists it as uncharacterized. The record is from RefSeq and is a predicted model, not a curated record. NCBI's taxonomy places the organism in Eukaryota, Viridiplantae, Streptophyta, Magnoliopsida, Solanales, Solanaceae. The transcript is spliced from 2 exons.